AUUUAAAAUGGAAAAGUAAUGCAAAAUGUGCUGUAGAAUCUAGACAAGAAACAAACUUAUACUCUUAUAAAAAAUGUAAACGUUUUUCUGGAAAAUUUGCCGCAAGACAACGUGGCAUCAGUGACUAGAAAAUUCGUCUCGGUUUCGACACGACGUCCAAACCUGAGGGAUUGGGAUCUUCUAGUCCAGCUUGCACGUGUGAAAUAUCCGAAGACGAUGUCACGAUUUGUCACACGAUAUCCUUUUUGUGACCUUCGUGUCGUUACGUUUGUAAUAGCAUACAAAACAAUGUAGUGAUCAGAUAAACAAACAACAUUAAAUAGUGAAUAACUAAACAAAGUAUUAAUGUCAGAAUCUUUAUCCAUUUUAAAUCAAAAUGUUUUUCCUUUCGGGAUUUAAAAAUACCUUAAACAAAAAAUAAAUAUAUACCUUGAUAAAUUAUAUUAAGGUACAUCUAAUUUUCUUCUUUGAUAAUAAAUUAAAUAAAAUAAAUUUUAUAAAUUAAUAUUCAAGUGAUUAAUUCUACACAAGAAUAUGUACCUAUAUAAAUCUGUUCUUCGUAUAAAAUGUGUAUAAUAUAUAUUGAAAGCAUUUGUAUUUCAAGGAAGUCUAUCUGCAAUUAAAUAAACGGGACUUGUGGUUUGUUCAGUAUUUCGAACGCAUCCCAUCGAUCUUAAUCAUAAAAGUAGAACUCGUUGUCAUUCUUUGAGCGAUGCCAGUCCUGUCUUUUGGUUUAACGAGUUUAACGAGUUGCUGCGCGACCAACGAAAAGUUCAGUGAAGGCGCAACGCGAAUACUGUGUACCUUUCGCACCGCGAACCCAUAAUGGAACUUAAUGGAGCUGACUGUCAGUAUGGAGUUUCUCCUUGUCUCGGUGGCAGACUGUGACUGGACAAUAUAUACUCGUAGUGCCACCGUUAUUUGACAAGACAUGUCCGCACACACGUGGACAUACGUUCAGAUGAUUAUUGUAUAUAUUAUAAAUAUAGAUAGCAGCAAUGUAAUGUAGUCGAAGGAAGCGUAUGUCGAAAUGAUUGAAACUGCAAUUGCGACGAUUAAAUUGUAGCAAAAUGUACAAUAAAAUGUUAUCGCGUACA
Long non-coding RNA from Apis florea (little honeybee), 1097 nucleotides. NCBI's taxonomy places the organism in Eukaryota, Metazoa, Arthropoda, Insecta, Hymenoptera, Apidae. The record is from RefSeq and is a predicted model, not a curated record.